CCGUGAUUGCUCGUCGAGUACCCAUAUCUUACAUACCCGCCAUGCCAACUCGUAACUGCUCAUAAACCUCCAAACCAGGCUCCUACACCCACUGCAAUUGACUUUACAACUCACUAUCAUUACGUUUUUCAUUCAGGCUCGUCCUCGCUCACCACUUGACAACCACCAUCGAUUGGACUAAAACCGCUCUGCGAACACCAACUACCACCACCAAACUUCUUCACCACUGGUACAGUUCGCCCACUACGGUCAGUUUACGUUUUCUACAUCUCAGGGGGCUCUUAGCAUAGCAAAGCACCUAAACUUAGCGCAAGAGUCACCUGAUGAGGCCCUGGCAAGGCCGAAACGCGUCGUGACGUGCCUUGCUAAAUAUAGCUUCAGCGGCUUUCUUUAGGUCAGCUUGCACUCGCUUAGCAGCCCAUCUAGUUCUCUUCCCGCUACAACUAGAUUUCCUUUUUUCACUACCUUCCUCGCACUACACCUAUAAAACUCUCAACUUAGACCAAACCCCUCCCAGCACUUAUCUUUCCUUAACACUCCUUCACCUCAGCCACAACUCCACCUCUAGUUCUUUACACCUCACCUAUACACAAAAACUACUUUCAAGCCCUCCACACACAACAUACCUUCAAUAAAUUUAUACUCGUCGCUUUUUAUCCCCUCAGUCUAAACCUUCCAAACCUCUCUCACAAAACUUACCUAUUUCUCAACCCUAGCUAAUCACCCCUAAAACAGACUCUAUAACACAUACCUCUCUUUCCAGCUUCUCCUCUUUAGUUUUUCGAUUCUUUUCGACUAAUACGACCUUCUAACUCAUUACUUUAACUCUAACCUUUAACUUUUACUUUUUACUUUUACCUUUAAUCUACACCUCCGAUUUUUCUUAAAAGUUUUUCCUGAUCCUAAAAAGUUUUUUAUGAAUUCCUAAAAAGUUUUUUAAGUUUUCCAGAACUUCACAAGUAAUUUAGUUAAAAUAAUUUUUCUUUUUUCUUUUUUCUUUUUACCAGAAAUAAAAAAAAAUUAAAGAUUUUUGCACUAACGAAGGGUUGACCUAAGUACCAUCUACCAUCUACCAGCAGCAGCAGCAGCAGCAGCAGCAGCAAGAGCAAGGAAGUUACAUUCGGGUACUGCCGUGAAGCGGUUGGUAUGUAGGCCUUGUUUUGUCGCUUCGGGGUGGUGUGCCCAGUUCAACUGACGAUGAUUGACAGCGACACCUCGGUAAGCCUGAAUGCAAAUACUCGC
RNAcentral lists this long non-coding RNA (1242 nucleotides) under Volvox carteri. RNAcentral describes it as "long non-coding RNA (VCAR_LNC003070)". Lineage: Eukaryota; Viridiplantae; Chlorophyta; Chlorophyceae; Chlamydomonadales; Volvocaceae. The record is from RNAcentral.